GUCCCUCUGAAGACUACAGAUGAAUGUUAUGUUGUGUUUGGUUGGUGGGAAUGGAAUGGUAUGGGCUGGGAAUGAAAUGACCAUUGCUUCUGUAGUGACUUAAAACAGUUAGUCAAUUGGAAUGAUCAUUCCAUUCCUUUAGUUAUUCCCUUUAAAAUCUGAAAGCUAUUUUUCAUUCCUUUCUAAAUAGGUGGGUUUAUUUCAUUCCGUCUAAGCUUCGUUCAUUUUUCCGAUCCAUCCAUCCAUCCAUCGCCAGCUUCGCUCGCCUCUCCUCCAUCACAGGUAUAUAUGUCCCUCUUCUCUCCUCUCUGUUCUCUCUUCUCUUUUCUCUCUCUGUCCUCUAUCUCCUACAUCUAUCAUCUGAAAUUGAUUUUUGUUUUCUAGGGUAAUUUUUCUUCCUUUGCUCUUCUGUUGUUCUCUUUCAAUUCGGUAAGACAUCUAAUCUCAGUUUAUCAUCCAUUUGUGCUUAAUCAAAUCUGAUUUUGGUUAUAUGUGGUGAUUUUGAUGCUCAAUCAAUUUUUAAUUUGGAUAUAUGAGCAUUUUGGCAGUAAUAGCUUUGUAUUUGGUAAUAGGUUGAUCAUGAUUCAUGUGUUAACUUAAUCUGCAUCUGAUUAUUGAAAAUAUAUUGUAUUAUAUUAAAUGUGUUUGCCAUUUAUAUAAUGCUCACUACCUGUUUGUGGAAAUGGCCAAGUGCGUUGCAGCAGUGGGUGUUCCACUUCAUGAACUCAGAAUUAUGCCUAUUGGCAUCCAUAAGAAGAUUAAAAGCUCAACAAUUGGUGUAGGAUUCUGUUUGUGGACAGAAUUAUGCUUAUUGGCAUCCAUAACAAUUGGUGUAGAAUUAUGCCUAUUGCCUAUGGUAACAUUGAAAUGAUUUUGAACAUAGAUGAUGAAAUCCUUAAAUGUAGACAAAACAUGUUUUUUGGUAGGAAGAAGAAAUGCCCAUGUUGCUCUAGAGAAAUCAUCUACAAUAGUCAAGAAAUAUUUGCAACCAUGAAAUGUAGAAAUUUUAUAUGGUCCCCAAAGGUCAUAAUGUAUGAAAUGAAACAAACCAACAGCUAUAGAUUUGCUAGUAUUGAAGGGAAUUUUAGUUUGUUUGGCUUAGUAUUUAAGGGAAUUUUAGUUUGUUUGGCUUAGUAUUCAAGGGAAUUUUAGUUUGUUAUAUGUGGUGAUUUUGAUGCCAAAGGAGACUAGGAACAGUUGCAAUUGAAUGUACUGUUGUGCCUUUAUUAGGAGUUGUGGUGAAGUAGUAUAACCCAUCUUUCAUUCUACCAGUUGCCAAGAUGGUCAUUUGGUGUUGGUCCUGAAACUUGCAUGUAUUUGACAAAAAAUUGACAAAACAGUUAAGAGUCGUGUGUGAGUUUACUAAUAGAAAGUAGGUUAUAGUGAAAUAUAGGAACAUACAAAACAUAGUGUAAAGUCAUAUUAGGAUUUAGCUUGACUGAACCAGACUUUUUAACUGAAAUACAUACUCCAGUAGGAAGGGAAACUUGUGUAGAAGAAGGUAAAUUAGUUAUGGAAUGCAUUAAAUGAAUCCAAACCUCAUAUUGAAUGAAUAAUAUUUGGUUGGAUGGAGUAUUCCAAUUUAUAUCAAUGUAUACUGUUUGAUGUUAGCAAAAAGCACCUUAGCAUCUGUGAAUGUUCCAUGUCUCAUUACACUGGUGGUGCCUCCAUUCCUUUUCUGCUUCAACUUUGGAUCUGUUCAGUCAUCUUUCUUGGAAUCAAGUUUUAAGGUAAUUGUUAAAUUCACAAUACUUUUUGUUAUUUCCACAACAAAAAUGUCGUUAUAGAUGUAUAGCGACGGUGAAAACUGUCACUAUAGGAUUUAUAGUAACACUUUUGUUGUGGAAAUAACAAUUUCUGUUGUGGAUAUAACAAUUCUCUUUUUUUAUUAUUUCAACUAGUGCCAAGUUCAAACAUUUAGUUUCAAUUUCUUGAAAAGAUGCAAUUUGGUGCAACUAUUAUGAUUAACCAAGCUCUAAUUGCAUACAUUUGCAUAUGCUGUUCUUUGCAUUGCAUGUUUUGUAAAAUUGCCAUCCUUAAACCCUAUAUACAUAUGCUUUUAUUUGCAGUACAUGUUUUGUAUUUUGGGACAAAAAUAUUCACUUUCAUUGCAGGUAUGAAUCAAGAUACAAAACCAAAUAAUUUUAGCUUGUUGCAUUCUUCACAGCUAUAUAAGAGCUGAAAUGCCCGAUGAUCCAUUUGAGUUGGCCUUGAGGUUGAAGAGAAUGAGGCGGAAAAUGAACCAGUGAAGACACUAUCACAACUAUUGGCAAUUCGAAUGCGUGGACAACUUUUAGGAACAACCUUGUUGAAAAGAUUUUUAAUGAGUGGAGGAAUGUAAAUAAUUUAGUGAAGUCUUAGCAUAAUUGUCCUAGAAUUUUAACUUUUUAAUAAUCGUACUUUUUAAUAAAAAACGAAGAAAAAAAAAAUUUAUUUCACAUUUUAUUCAUAAUGUAAUUUAUGUAAACCAAACACCUAAAGUAGAAUUAUAAUUCUAUUCUUGAUGGAAUUGAUGGAAUGAAUGAACAAGCCAAACAUAAAAAUGAGAAUAAUCAUUUCAUUUCUG
This 2566-nucleotide long non-coding RNA is filed under the name Panax ginseng (ginseng). RNAcentral describes it as "long non-coding RNA (PGIN_LNC005760)". The record is from RNAcentral. Lineage: Eukaryota; Viridiplantae; Streptophyta; Magnoliopsida; Apiales; Araliaceae.